This 999-nucleotide ribosomal RNA is filed under the name Bacillus sp. NCCP-2632. RNAcentral's name for it is "bacterial SSU rRNA". It matches the Rfam family "Bacterial small subunit ribosomal RNA", at positions 56 to 1037 of the family's 1533-position model. The record is from RNAcentral. Lineage: Bacteria; Bacillati; Bacillota; Bacilli; Caryophanales; Bacillaceae.
UGCAGUCGAGCGGACAGAUGGGAGCUUGCUCCCUGAUGUUAGCGGCGGACGGGUGAGUAACACGUGGGUAACCUGCCUGUAAGACUGGGAUAACUCCGGGAAACCGGGGCUAAUACCGGAUGGUUGUCUGAACCGCAUGGUUCAGACAUAAAAGGUGGCUUCGGCUACCACUUACAGAUGGACCCGCGGCGCAUUAGCUAGUUGGUGAGGUAACGGCUCACCAAGGCGACGAUGCGUAGCCGACCUGAGAGGGUGAUCGGCCACACUGGGACUGAGACACGGCCCAGACUCCUACGGGAGGCAGCAGUAGGGAAUCUUCCGCAAUGGACGAAAGUCUGACGGAGCAACGCCGCGUGAGUGAUGAAGGUUUUCGGAUCGUAAAGCUCUGUUGUUAGGGAAGAACAAGUGCCGUUCAAAUAGGGCGGCACCUUGACGGUACCUAACCAGAAAGCCACGGCUAACUACGUGCCAGCAGCCGCGGUAAUACGUAGGUGGCAAGCGUUGUCCGGAAUUAUUGGGCGUAAAGGGCUCGCAGGCGGUUUCUUAAGUCUGAUGUGAAAGCCCCCGGCUCAACCGGGGAGGGUCAUUGGAAACUGGGGAACUUGAGUGCAGAAGAGGAGAGUGGAAUUCCACGUGUAGCGGUGAAAUGCGUAGAGAUGUGGAGGAACACCAGUGGCGAAGGCGACUCUCUGGUCUGUAACUGACGCUGAGGAGCGAAAGCGUGGGGAGCGAACAGGAUUAGAUACCCUGGUAGUCCACGCCGUAAACGAUGAGUGCUAAGUGUUAGGGGGUUUCCGCCCCUUAGUGCUGCAGCUAACGCAUUAAGCACUCCGCCUGGGGAGUACGGUCGCAAGACUGAAACUCAAAGGAAUUGACGGGGGCCCGCACAAGCGGUGGAGCAUGUGGUUUAAUUCGAAGCAACGCGAAGAACCUUACCAGGUCUUGACAUCCUCUGACAAUCCUAGAGAUAGGACGUCCCCUUCGGGGGCAGAGUGACAG